Molecule: long non-coding RNA, 1245 nt
Organism: Tyto alba (common barn owl)
Lineage: Eukaryota; Metazoa; Chordata; Aves; Strigiformes; Tytonidae
Exons: 2
Source: RefSeq, a predicted model, not a curated record
UUGGCUAGACCUGUCCUUCUAUCCUAGUCAGUCUUCGUUUCUGUUCCUUCCUCUCUGCUGCUCUUCCCUUUCUUCCUUCCUUGCUUCCCUGCAAGCCUCUGCCGCUCCCCAGCGCCGCGGGGCCGCCGGCUGGCCCGCGCCCCCUCAGCUGCGGGCGGCAGGAGCCCGCUCACUCACGCGGCAGGUAGCGAAGCCUUCCAUCUACCGAGGUCGCUCAUCCUGUUGGGGUGGGAAGGAGGCUGAUCCGCUGAGGGCUUUUGAGAAUCACAGCUGUCUAUACGGCAAAUAAUUAGGGACCCAGAAUUUUACAAAGGAGGGAAACUGUUCCGUACUGCCUUUCAUCCAGGUGGGACGCGCCGGAGCUGGCUGCGAGCAGCUCGUUAGGGAGCCACAGCACUGUUCUGCCUCUAAGAGCCAGCGUUUGCAUCUCAGUCCGGCGUUUCCUUUGUCGUGUUUGUGUUUCUCUGGAUGAAUAUUUUGAGGAGUAAGUUUUGUGCUUUUGUGUUAAUUCAAGGGGAAGAACGUGGUGAAAUAUGAAGUGUUGUUUGUUGGUUACAAUACUUUCCAUGCGCGUCCGUGUGCUGCUUCUGGCUGACAGAGUAAUGGGCGCGUCUGCUCCCUCACCUCCCAACAGAUCAAACUGGGUUAGGUAUAAAAAGAUUAAAGAAAAAAAAAAAAGCAGAAAAACAGAAUGAAUCCUCAGUGCUUUUGUAGCUGGGCAGUUCACCCUUGACUGCCCUCCCCGACGCCGAGGCAUUCUGCCGGCUAGCAUCCCGCGGGCCCAGGAGCUGCCGGGUCACGUGCCGGCCCCGUUUCCUUGGAGACGGCGCCGUGCCGCGCAUCGGGAUGCCGCGCGCCGGGAUGCCAGCUCGGCGGAGGACCGGGGAGCCGCUCGCCGCCACCACAAAGGGCGAGAACAAAGUCAUCGUGAAGUAACACCUCAACCCCUGCCUUGCUCCCAGGAAGAAUUAUUAUUAGCAGAUCGUUCAUACCCAUGCGACGUUUCAGCGGCAAGCAGCAGAACUGACCAGGACAUUUUGUCACCAGAGGUGAUACGCGUAUUGCAAAUCACUGGAAAGAAACAGGCGUAAUAACGAGCUCGUAUUUGUGCUGGUGUCUCGGAACAGUUACUGCUAUUUCAUUUACAUGCCAGAGAUAGCAGCCAGCUGAAGAACGCUCUUUAAUGUCUUUGUCAGAGAUGUUGCAUACAAAUAAAUUGGCUGUGACAUAAAAAAACAAUGAAAA